AGUGAACGCUGGCGGUAGGCCUAACACAUGCAAGUCGAACGGCAGCACAGUAAGAGCUUGCUCUUACGGGUGGCGAGUGGCGGACGGGUGAGGAAUACAUCGGAAUCUACUUUUUCGUGGGGGAUAACGUAGGGAAACUUACGCUAAUACCGCAUACGACCUACGGGUGAAAGCAGGGGAUCUUCGGACCUUGCGCGAUUGAAUGAGCCGAUGUCGGAUUAGCUAGUUGGCGGGGUAAAGGACCACCAAGGCGACGAUCCGUAGCUGGUCUGAGAGGAUGAUCAGCCACACUGGAACUGAGACACGGUCCAGACUCCUACGGGAGGCAGCAGUGGGGAAUAUUGGACAAUGGGCGCAAGCCUGAUCCAGCCAUACCGCGUGGGUGAAGGAGGCCUUCGGGUUGUAAAGCCCUUUUGUUGGGAAAGAAAAGCAGCAGGUUAAUACCCCGCUGUUCUGACGGUACCCAAAGAAUAAGCACCGGCUAACUUCGUG
RNAcentral lists this ribosomal RNA (492 nucleotides) under uncultured bacterium. Its description in RNAcentral is "partial 16S ribosomal RNA". It matches the Rfam family "Bacterial small subunit ribosomal RNA", at positions 29 to 507 of the family's 1533-position model. The record is from RNAcentral.